RNAcentral lists this ribosomal RNA (497 nucleotides) under uncultured bacterium. RNAcentral's name for it is "partial 16S ribosomal RNA". It matches the Rfam family "Bacterial small subunit ribosomal RNA", at positions 28 to 507 of the family's 1533-position model. The record is from RNAcentral.
GAUGAACGCUGGCGGCGUGCCUAAUACAUGCAAGUCGAGCGAACAGACGAGGAGCUUGCUCCUCUGACGUUAGCGGCGGACGGGUGAGUAACACGUGGAUAACCUACCUAUAAGACUGGGAUAACUUCGGGAAACCGGAGCUAAUACCGGAUAAUAUAUUGAACCGCAUGGUUCAAUAGUGAAAGACGGUUUUGCUGUCACUUAUAGAUGGAUCCGCGCCGCAUUAUCUAGUUGGUAAGGUAACGGCUUACCAAGGCAACGAUGCGUAGCCGACCUGAGAGGGUGAUCGGCCACACUGUAACUGAGACACGGUCCAGACUCCUACGGGAGGCAGCAGUAGGGAAUCUUCCGCAAUGGGCGAAAGCUUGACGGAGCAACGCCGCGUGAGUGAUGAAGGUCUUCGGAUCGUAAAACUCUGUUAUUAGGGAAGAACAAAUGUGUAAGUAACUAUGCACGUCUUGACGGUACCUAAUCAGAAAGCCACGGCUAACUACGUG